This 241-nucleotide unclassified non-coding RNA is filed under the name Hevea brasiliensis (rubber tree). The record is from RNAcentral. Lineage: Eukaryota; Viridiplantae; Streptophyta; Magnoliopsida; Malpighiales; Euphorbiaceae.
CCUGAAUUUCUAGAGGGUGGCCAUGAAUUCCCAUACGGCGAUCUAUCAUGCAAGAACCAUCAGUCACCAACAAUGUUGGGAACAUGUCAAAACCAUCAGCAAGACAUAGCCUCAGAAUCAUCUUAAUUCCAGUCUGCACAUCAAUCCUCUCCAGAAUUGAGAGAUCACCAGAACAUUUUCCAUAUGCACGUAAUAAGAUAAUCCACCAUAAUCCAGAAUCAACAGGUGCAACACGACCUAU